RNAcentral lists this ribosomal RNA (923 nucleotides) under uncultured Streptococcus sp. Its description in RNAcentral is "bacterial SSU rRNA". It matches the Rfam family "Bacterial small subunit ribosomal RNA", at positions 60 to 965 of the family's 1533-position model. Lineage: Bacteria; Bacillati; Bacillota; Bacilli; Lactobacillales; Streptococcaceae. The record is from RNAcentral.
AGUAGAACGCUGAAGAGAGGAGCUUGCUCUUCUUGGAUGAGUUGCGAACGGGUGAGUAACGCGUAGGUAACCUGCCUGAUAGCGGGGGAUAACUAUUGGAAACGAUAGCUAAUACCGCAUAACAAUUUUUGUUGCAUGACAAGAAUUUGAAAGGUGCAAUUGCACCACUAUCAGAUGGACCUGCGUUGUAUUAGCUAGUUGGUGGGGUAACGGCUCACCAAGGCGACGAUACAUAGCCGACCUGAGAGGGUGAUCGGCCACACUGGGACUGAGACACGGCCCAGACUCCUACGGGAGGCAGCAGUAGGGAAUCUUCGGCAAUGGGGGCAACCCUGACCGAGCAACGCCGCGUGAGUGAAGAAGGUUUUCGGAUCGUAAAGCUCUGUUGUAAGAGAAGAACGGAUGUGAGAGUGGAAAGUUCACAUCGUGACGGUAACUUACCAGAAAGGGACGGCUAACUACGUGCCAGCAGCCGCGGUAAUACGUAGGUCCCGAGCGUUAUCCGGAUUUAUUGGGCGUAAAGCGAGCGCAGGCGGUUAGAUAAGUCUGAAGUUAAAGGCUGUGGCUUAACCAUAGUACGCUUUGGAAACUGUUUGACUUGAGUGCAAGAGGGGAGAGUGGAAUUCCAUGUGUAGCGGUGAAAUGCGUAGAUAUAUGGAGGAACACCUGUGGCGAAAGCGGCUCUCUGGCUUGUAACUGACGCUGAGGCUCGAAAGCGUGGGUAGCGAACAGGAUUAGAUACCCUGGUAGUCCACGCCGUAAACGAUGAGUGCUAGGUGUUAGGCCCUUUCCGGGGCUUAGUGCCGCAGCUAACGCAUUAAGCACUCCGCCUGGGGAGUACGACCGCAAGGUUGAAACUCAAAGGAAUUGACGGGGGCCCGCACAAGCGGUGGAGCAUGUGGUUUAAUUCGAAGCAACGCGAA